This 65-nucleotide transfer RNA is filed under the name Archimandrita tessellata. RNAcentral's name for it is "tRNA-Arg". Lineage: Eukaryota; Metazoa; Arthropoda; Insecta; Blattodea; Blaberidae. The record is from RNAcentral.
AAGUAUGAAGCAAUAAUUGCAAUUAGUUUCGACCUAAUAAAUAGGUAUUUUAUUACCCUUACUUU